GAGGCUCUGACUUGCUUAUUGCACCACAUGUGUUUUUCUUUGAAACAAACUUGCUUUGGCGGUGGGCCCAGCCUGCCGCCAGAGGUCUAAACUUACAACCAAUUUUUUAUCAACUUGUCACACCAGAUUAUUACUAAUAGUCAAAACUUUCAACAACGGAUCUCUUGGUUCUCGCAUCGAUGAAGAACGCAGCGAAAUGCGAUACGUAAUAUGAAUUGCAGAUAUUCGUGAAUCAUCGAAUCUUUGAACGCACAUUGCGCCCUCUGGUAUUCCGGAGGGCAUGCCUGUUUGAGCGUCGUUUCUCCCUCAAACCGCUGGGUUUGGUGUUGAGCAAUACGACUUGGGUUUGCUUGAAAGACGGUAGUGGUAAGGCGGGAUCGCUUUGACAAUGGCUUAGGUCUAACCAAAAACAUUGUUUGCGGCGGUAACGUCCACCACGUAUAUCUUCAAACUUUGACCUCAAAUCAGGUAGGACUACCCGCUGAACUUAAGCAUAUCAAAAGGCGGAGGAA
Molecule: ribosomal RNA, 512 nt
Filed under: Candida albicans
Lineage: Eukaryota; Fungi; Ascomycota; Pichiomycetes; Serinales; Debaryomycetaceae
Description: eukaryotic LSU rRNA
Rfam family: 5.8S ribosomal RNA (bases 145-298)
Source: RNAcentral